RNAcentral lists this ribosomal RNA (253 nucleotides) under uncultured bacterium. RNAcentral describes it as "partial 16S ribosomal RNA". It matches the Rfam family "Bacterial small subunit ribosomal RNA", at positions 524 to 776 of the family's 1533-position model. The record is from RNAcentral.
CACGUAGGGUGCAAGCGUUGUCCGGAAUUAUUGGGCGUAAAGGGCUCGUAGGCGGUCCGUCACGUCGGGAGUGAAAACUCGGGGCUCAACCCCGAGCCUGCUUCCGAUACGGGCGGACUAGAGGUAGGUAGGGGAGAACGGAAUUCCUGGUGUAGCGGUGGAAUGCGCAGAUAUCAGGAGGAACACCGGUGGCGAAGGCGGAUCUCUGGGCCAUUACUGACGCUGAGGAGCGAAAGCGUGGAGAGCGAACAGG